AUGAUCUGUUUUGCUAUAUAUAGACCUCCUUGUCCAUUUAUAGACCAAACCAUAAAUUCUAGGAUGUUUGUUCCCCUAGCCGCCGCCACCUACAGCCUUCCCCCUCCUCGGAUCUGCCGCCUCCACCGCUCACCAAAUCUUCCCCUGGGAUCCCCUCCCGAUCCAGCCCGCCAACCAGCAACUCCCACCUCUCCCUCUCAGAUCGACCCCGCGCUCGAUCCCGAAUGGAUCAAGGCGUUGCCUUCGCUCGCACAUCUCCUCUGGAUUCAUCCCGAGACCAACCAGGCCCCGAGCGACCUCACUCCCCUGCCGUCGCCGGUAACCGCGUCACCGGGAUCCAACAAGGCCUCAACCUCCUCGCGCCGAGCAACCCUCCUGGCCGCCUCCCUCCUCCCGUGCUUCAAACUAGGGCGGGUUGGAACCAGUGCUCGAGCCCUCCUGUACCUCUCCUCGAGCUCGGUCGCCUCAACGCCGUCCUCCCCUUCGUCUUCCCCUUCCGUUCCCUCCUUCCUCCUUCCAUGCCGUAACUCCCUCCAACUCCCUCUGUUUUUGUCUCACAGGGAGAACAAGACGCGCCGGCCUCCAUGGAUUUCGCACCGGAGCUCCAUCCGCGCCGGAUCCCCCUCUUCGACCUUCGCUGACUUCAUUCCGCGCUUCCCUGUGCUCGUCGGGGUCGCAAGUACCACGCUGCCGCUGCUCUGCUUCGUGUCAGGCGGAGGUCCACGCUCGCAACCUUCCAGCCUCGCCUCAACACGGGUUCCACGUCCACUUCUAGACCUCCCCGGCUUCGUAUGGUCUAGCGCAGCCGCCCCGUGUCGUCCGGCUCGUCCCGCCUCCCGCAGGUCUCCCCGUCGCCUGCCGGAGUCCCAGCGUCGCCGGGAGCUUGCGCCAAGUCCGCCGUCGUCCUCUGCUCGAGAACAAGUUUGUGUCGUCGACUGCUUCGCCUCGGAUUCAGACGCCCAUCGCCGGAGGCCGCCGUCCCGCACCUGGAGCCGCGCCCCUCCGUCCCCCGCGCCUCCGUCUCUUCCUCGCCGCCACACUCCUUUUUCAUGCCGUGCCGCUUCUCUGUUUUAUUCAAGCAGGAUGACGAGCGCACGCAGCCGCGGCGCGUUGACCCGCACCUGGGUCGCGUCCAGCAUGCCAAGGCCCAGUGCGCCCCUCCUGCAGCCUCCCUUCCAAUCGGGCCAAGGCCCAUGCUCCGGUUUCGUUCUGGAGUUGUGA
This 1221-nucleotide ribosomal RNA is filed under the name Triticum aestivum (bread wheat). RNAcentral describes it as "partial small subunit ribosomal RNA". Lineage: Eukaryota; Viridiplantae; Streptophyta; Magnoliopsida; Poales; Poaceae. The record is from RNAcentral.